UACGGGGGGGGCAAGCGUUGUUCGGAAUUACUGGGCGUAAAGGGCUCGUAGGCGGCCAACUAAGUCGGACGUGAAAUCCCCAGGCUCAACCUGGGAACUGCGUCCGAUACUGGAUGGCUUGAAUCCGGGAGAGGGAUGCAGAAUUCCAGGUGUAGCGGUGAAAUGCGUAGAUAUCUGGAGGAAUACCGGUGGCGAAGGCAGCUCGCUGGGACGGUAUUGACGCUAAGGCGCGAAAGCGUGGGGAGCAAACAGG
Molecule: ribosomal RNA, 253 nt
Filed under: uncultured bacterium
Lineage: Bacteria
Description: partial 16S ribosomal RNA
Rfam family: Bacterial small subunit ribosomal RNA
Source: RNAcentral